Molecule: long non-coding RNA, 402 nt
Filed under: Neodiprion pinetum (white pine sawfly)
Lineage: Eukaryota; Metazoa; Arthropoda; Insecta; Hymenoptera; Diprionidae
Description: uncharacterized LOC124216848
Source: RNAcentral
AUUAGUGAAAAAAUUGUGCUAAAAUACUUUUUCAAGUGCUCCAAUAUAAUUGAGAAUAGAACUUAAUUUUAUUCUCCUGGACUAUGACGACUGAUAUAAAUUCGUGAGCGCGUCUGCUCACUUAUCAGCGAAACUCAGACACUAGUGCUGCCACGAGCCGAUAGAGCGCGGCGAUCACGAGAAACUAUGAUGGCGCGAUAUCCAACGACCUUCAAUCACCAAACAGUGCAUAAACCUUAAAUUGACAACUACUGCAAAUUAAACUCGUUCGUAGUUCGACCCCGUAGACCAAGGCAGCGCUACCAGUGGAUUCUGCAUGGAUUCUGUCAGUGGCGCCAUCCAGAUACCUAAGCGUGAGGUGCAGGAGAGAAGGUUCGGACGGAGCAGCGAGGUGACACGAGU